This 213-nucleotide long non-coding RNA is filed under the name Homo sapiens (human). RNAcentral's name for it is "HSALNT0142293". The record is from RNAcentral. Lineage: Eukaryota; Metazoa; Chordata; Mammalia; Primates; Hominidae.
AUCUGAGAGAGCCUUCUAAGCAAAUGAGCGGCAUGUAAAACUUCACAACAGACACAUGAAGACUGCAACUACUGCUUCAAUAAUGUCGUGAGUUUCCAAUUGCUCUGCAUUAGAAUCUAACAGGGUCCCAGCACAAAUUUAAGCACACUGGUUUCCUCUGGAAGUUUAUCAGAGAAUGACACUGAGGAUCUUUACACAGUUGGAGGCAAGGAA